ACAUGGGGGCAACCCUGAUCCAGCCAUGCCGCGUGUGUGAAGAAGGCUUUCGGGUUGUAAAGCACUUUCAGUGAGGAGGAAAACUCUGCGACUAAUACUCGUAGGGCUUGACGUUACUCACAGAAGAAGCACCGGCUAACUCCGUGCCAGCAGCCGCGGUAAUACGGAGGGUGCAAGCGUUAAUCGGAAUUACUGGGCGUAAAGCGCGCGUAGGUGGUUUGAUAAGCGAGAUGUGAAAGCCCCGGGCUUAACCUGGGAACGGCAUUUCGAACUGUCAGGCUAGAGUAUGGUAGAGGGUAGUGGAAUUUCCUGUGUAGCGGUGAAAUGCGUAGAUAUAGGA
This 340-nucleotide ribosomal RNA is filed under the name uncultured bacterium. RNAcentral describes it as "bacterial SSU rRNA". It matches the Rfam family "Bacterial small subunit ribosomal RNA", at positions 369 to 701 of the family's 1533-position model. The record is from RNAcentral.